AGGAUUGCAACAUAAACAUAAUUUUUCUAGAAUAAACUCCUACGGAUAUGAAGUGCUUAAACUUGAUUUUUGUAUGUUGAUAAAACAAAGUAAAACAAAAUUUGAGUUAGGUACAACUUUGCCUCUCAAAUUCUAGAUUUUGUUAAAUCGAAACUUGAUUUAGGCACAGCUUGUCACAUUGUGUCUUCAUAGUAUCGGUACAUAUGAAGCACAACGGCCACACAUGCUUCACGACACCCAAAUUGUAUUGUCCACAUGUUAGACUUGAAAAAUCACCACACGUGAGGGGGCGUAUUGAGAAUGAAUCCCACAUUGAUGACAAGAGAGACCUUGCAUG
Molecule: long non-coding RNA, 337 nt
Filed under: Malus domestica (apple)
Lineage: Eukaryota; Viridiplantae; Streptophyta; Magnoliopsida; Rosales; Rosaceae
Description: long non-coding RNA (MDOM_LNC012325)
Source: RNAcentral